AGUUGUGGUAGUCUCUUUCUGACACAUUUGUUAAGUUUUCAAAUGGGUCUGACUCUACCACAUACAUAAUAAGGAGCUAUCAAAAGCUUAAAGACGGAAAUAUCUCUCUUGAGCUUUUAUUGUAUCAGAUAUUGGCUCUCACAAUC
Small nucleolar RNA from Cavia aperea (Brazilian guinea pig), 146 nucleotides. The record is from Ensembl. NCBI's taxonomy places the organism in Eukaryota, Metazoa, Chordata, Mammalia, Rodentia, Caviidae.